GCAAAAACUGCACAUUAUACAGGGCGACAGGCAUGGCAGCAGUUUCUGGUGCACAUGUUGCCUGUCUCCCGGUGACAGAAGAUAACAGAGGACUAAGAGCGCACAUAUACCUCAAGAGCCCUAAGGCUGCCACAGGAGAGUAAACAACUCCACCCAGCACUGCUCCAGGCCGGCACAACCAUCAACUUUUCAUGAGCGGGCCCACUGGCUGCUGUCUGGAAUGAAGAAUCCUAUGUUGCUUUCCAGCCUCACAUUUCCCCUUUGUGUACUACAAAAUAGGAGCUGUUUCAUUAGAAACAUAAAACAAUGAGGAAGAAGCUGUUAUUGACAAACUGGGUUUGGC
RNAcentral lists this long non-coding RNA (343 nucleotides) under Homo sapiens (human). Its description in RNAcentral is "HSALNT0244094". The record is from RNAcentral. Lineage: Eukaryota; Metazoa; Chordata; Mammalia; Primates; Hominidae.